GACGAACGCUGGCGGCGUGCUUAACACAUGCAAGUCGAACGGAAAGGCCCUGCUUUUGUGGGGUGCUCGAGUGGCGAACGGGUGAGUAACACGUGAGUAACCUGCCCUUGACUUUGGGAUAACUUCAGGAAACUGGGGCUAAUACCGGAUAGGAGCUCCUGCUGCAUGGUGGGGGUUGGAAAGUUUCGGCGGUUGGGGAUGGACUCGCGGCUUAUCAGCUUGUUGGUGGGGUAGUGGCUUACCAAGGCUUUGACGGGUAGCCGGCCUGAGAGGGAGACCGGCCAGAGUGGGACGGGAAGACGGCGCAGGCUCCUACGGGAGGCAGCAGGGGGGAUGACGGAACAAUGGGGGGAAGGUUGAUGCAGCAUUGCGGCGGGCGGGAUGAGGGAGUGCGGGUUGAAAACCGCUUACGCCUGUGACGAAGCGUGAGUGACGGUAAUGGGUAAAGAAGCACCGGCUAACUAC
RNAcentral lists this ribosomal RNA (465 nucleotides) under uncultured bacterium. RNAcentral's name for it is "partial 16S ribosomal RNA". It matches the Rfam family "Bacterial small subunit ribosomal RNA", at positions 28 to 504 of the family's 1533-position model. The record is from RNAcentral.